RNAcentral lists this ribosomal RNA (207 nucleotides) under uncultured bacterium. RNAcentral describes it as "partial 16S ribosomal RNA". It matches the Rfam family "Bacterial small subunit ribosomal RNA", at positions 568 to 774 of the family's 1533-position model. The record is from RNAcentral.
AGCGUAGACGGAUGGACAAGUCUGAUGUGAAAGGCUGGGGCUCAACCCCGGGACUGCAUUGGAAACUGCCCGUCUUGAGUGCCGGAGAGGUAAGCGGAAUUCCUAGUGUAGCGGUGAAAUGCGUAGAUAUUAGGAGGAACACCAGUGGCGAAGGCGGCUUACUGGACGGUAACUGACGUUGAGGCUCGAAAGCGUGGGAAGCAAACA